AACGCACAUUGCGCCCGCCAGUAUUCUGGCGGGCAUGCCUGUUCGAGCGUCAUUACAACCCUCAGGCCCCCGGGCCUGGCGUUGGGGAUCGGCGAGGCGCCCCCUGUGGGCACGCGCCGUCCCCCAAAUACAGUGGCGGUCCCGCCGCAGCUUCCAUUGCGUAGUAGCUAACACCUCGCACUGGAGAGCGGCGCGGCCAUGCCGUGAAACACCCAACUUCUGAAUGUUGACCUCGAAUCAGGUAGGAAUACCCGCUGAACUUAA
RNAcentral lists this unclassified non-coding RNA (264 nucleotides) under uncultured fungus. Its description in RNAcentral is "sequence contains ITS2". The stretch from base 1 to 52 matches the Rfam family "5.8S ribosomal RNA", at positions 103 to 154 of the family's 154-position model. The record is from RNAcentral. Lineage: Eukaryota; Fungi.